This is a non-coding RNA of Aedes aegypti (yellow fever mosquito), 73 nucleotides long. The record is from Rfam. NCBI's taxonomy places the organism in Eukaryota, Metazoa, Arthropoda, Insecta, Diptera, Culicidae.
CCUCUCAUGGCGUAGUGGUAACGCGCCCCAACUAGGGAUCGGGGAGUCGUGAGUUCGAUUCUCACUGAGAAGA